GGUCAAACCAAAAGUCAAACAACAAGACUAGGUUAGAAAUAAAUCAAAAAUAAAUUGAAAAUGGAAAAUAAAAAUUCAAUAAAAGGUCAAGUUGACCAUGAGACAUUGGUCAACCAUCAUCCCAAAAAUCAGAAACUAAAAAUAAUUUUAAGUUAUGGAAAUAAAAUAAAUGAAAAAAAGUGUGUUAAAAUGGCCUAUUUGACACAAAUAAUUAAAAUAAAAUACUUGCAUUAAAUAAAAACGAAAAUAAAAAUUAAAAUAAAUUAAAUGAAACAAUUAAGAAUGUAAAAAAAU
This 294-nucleotide long non-coding RNA is filed under the name Lathyrus oleraceus (garden pea). Its description in RNAcentral is "Pisum sativum (pea) long non-coding RNA (PSAT_LNC021498)". Lineage: Eukaryota; Viridiplantae; Streptophyta; Magnoliopsida; Fabales; Fabaceae. The record is from RNAcentral.